This 380-nucleotide long non-coding RNA is filed under the name Pan troglodytes (chimpanzee). Its description in RNAcentral is "long non-coding RNA NONPTRT005327". Lineage: Eukaryota; Metazoa; Chordata; Mammalia; Primates; Hominidae. The record is from RNAcentral.
CGGCUCCUCCAGAGCCUGAUACACACCGUCGGCGUAAUUGGCUGGUACGCGGCGCUGCAACCGGCAGCCUGCGGAGGCAGGGAGCGGGGCUCUGUCUAAGCACUCCAUCCCCUAGGAUCCCCCAAACCUCGCCCUAAGCCUCCCUCAGAUUAGAAGUUGGAGCCAACUGGGUGCAUUGUCUUAGACUUUCCCCCUCUCCCAGAACCUAGGUUGUGCAUUUUUCAGUUCUGGGAGGACCCAGCUUUUCUGCAUCUUAAUCUGUGUUGCUUUCCCUGGAACACGGGGGUCCCUAGGGCACAAGGCAGCUGUGCUCAGCAGGAACCCAAGGGCCAGAGUGGGGCCUAGGCAGGGACUCACCCACACUGAGCAGAGGGACAGGA